AUGAACGCUGGCGGCGUGCUUCACACAUGCAAGUCGCACGGUGAAGGCGGAGCUUGCUCUGCUGGAUCAGUGGCGAACGGGUGAGUAACACGUGAGCAAUCUGCCCCUGACUCUGGGAUAAGCGCUGGAAACGGCGUCUAAUACUGGAUACGAGCUGCGAAGGCAUCUUCAGCAGCUGGAAAGAACUUCGGUCAGGGAUGAGCUCGCGGCCUAUCAGCUUGUUGGUGAGGUAACGGCUCACCAAGGCGUCGACGGGUAGCCGGCCUGAGAGGGUGACCGGCCACACUGGGACUGAGACACGGCCCAGACUCCUACGGGAGGCAGCAGUGGGGAAUAUUGCACAAUGGGCGAAAGCCUGAUGCAGCAACGCCGCGUGAGGGACGACGGCCUUCGGGUUGUAAACCUCUUUUAGCAGGGAAGAAGCGAAAGUGACGGUACCUGCAGAAAAAGCGCCGGCUAACUACGUG
Molecule: ribosomal RNA, 467 nt
Filed under: uncultured bacterium
Lineage: Bacteria
Description: partial 16S ribosomal RNA
Rfam family: Bacterial small subunit ribosomal RNA
Source: RNAcentral